RNAcentral lists this unclassified non-coding RNA (279 nucleotides) under air metagenome. RNAcentral describes it as "partial contains small subunit ribosomal RNA, internal transcribed spacer 1, and 5.8S ribosomal RNA". The stretch from base 1 to 46 matches the Rfam family "Eukaryotic small subunit ribosomal RNA", at positions 1786 to 1831 of the family's 1831-position model. The record is from RNAcentral.
AAGUCGUAACAAGGUUUCCGUAGGUGAACCUGCGGAAGGAUCAUUAACGUAUCUACCCGGGGGGUUCGGGCGGCCCCGCUCCGGCGCUUUCGCCGUGAGCGGGUCUCCGUUCCCCUCGAACACUACAAACCCCACUGUGCACCUUUUCGCGGUGGAGGGUGUGGCCGCAUAUGUUGCCUCGCCCGAAGCCGCGGCUCACAAACUUUGUCUUGGAAUGUCUUUGCGGACUCGUGCCGCCCAUAAACAUAACAACUUUCAACAACGGAUCUCUUGGCUCUC